AUUGAACGCUGGCGGCAGGCCUAACACAUGCAAGUCGAGCGGAGCGGCGGACGGGUGAGUAAUGACUAGGAAUCUGCCUGGUAGUGGGGGAUAACGUCCGGAAACGGGCGCUAAUACCGCAUACUAUCAGAUGAACCUAGGUCGGAUUAGCUAGUUGGUGGGGUAAAGGCCUACCAAGGCGACGAUCCGUAACUGGUCUGAGAGGAUGAACAGUCACACUGGAACUGAGACACGGUCCAGACUCCGACGGGAGGCAGCAGUGGGGAAUAUGGCACAAUGGGCGCAAGCCUGAUGCAGCCAUGCGGCGUGUAUGAAGAAGGACUUCGGGUUGUAAAGUACUUUCAGUCGGGAGGCGUUACCGACAGAAGAAGCACCGGCUAAAUCCGUGCCAGCCGACGCGGUAAUAC
RNAcentral lists this ribosomal RNA (407 nucleotides) under uncultured bacterium. Its description in RNAcentral is "partial 16S ribosomal RNA". It matches the Rfam family "Bacterial small subunit ribosomal RNA", at positions 30 to 526 of the family's 1533-position model. The record is from RNAcentral.